CCGUAUCUAUAUAAAUGUUUUUGAUUCUUUUAUUUUUGCUUAUGUGUUAAAAGUAUAACUCUAGAAAGCAAUAAUGAUAUCCACUUGCAAAAUAAUACCCUGGAAUGUGAUAAUCAGUUUUCUUGAAUGUACAAUGAACUUGCAAUGAAAGCAAUUUUGGCCAAUGAUUCAAUGAAAUGUAAUGAAGAGUGACAUACUGUUAUUCACAGAGUAAGAUAGAUGAUGAUUAUCCACUUGAUAACAUAGGUGAUGCCAGUUGUUACCCACUUGUUACGAUAGGUGAUGCCAACUUUACUACCACAGAGUAAACAGUGUGACAUUUCCUCGUACACUUUAGGCAGGAGAAAUUAUUGGAAAAUUCCUUGGAAAGUAUUGAAAUGGUUUUUGUACACUGCAAGUUUUAAUCUAAAAGCUAUUAAAUAUGCUAAAAAGAGUGGCAACAGAACUGCUGAGAGAAACUUCAGACCUCCUCCCACAGGGAGUGUCAUCAGAUUGUGGGGCAACAGGAAGAAAAGCUUCUUCAGAUGCCAGGACAGAAGAAGGCAAUGGGAGAGAAACCUCCAAAGAGACUAGAGGUGGAGCAGGAGGUGGUUUCUAGAGCAGCGUCAAACUGGGAUCUCUGUUCCAACCCAGAUGAUACAAGAAGGUAAAAGGAUUGCAUAAGAAAAUAACAUUGAUGAUUUCUCAAGGACAUCUAAAUGGUGCUUUAACUUUAUGAAGAGAGAAGGCUUGAGCAUGAGGACACAAAUGAAACUUGCCCCAAAGCUUCCAGCAGCCUAUGAGAAUCAAGAUUUGGAAUUUCAUUCUUAUGUUAUCAGUCUUCAAAAGACUUAAAAUUUUGAGCUGUCCCAAAUCACCAAUAUGGACAAGGUCCCACUUACAUUUGAUGUGCCAUCCAACAGAACUGUGGACAUCAAAGGAGCAAAGACCAUGGCUAUUAAAACUAGUGGUCAUGAGAAAACAUAUUUCACAUUGUUCUAGCCUGUUGUGCAGAUGGCACAAAACUGCCACUUAUGAUCAUCUCUAAAAGAAAAACAUUUCCAAAAGAAAAGAUUCCAAGUGGAGUUAUUGUCCACAUGCAUGAAAAAGGAUGGAUGGAUGAAUGAAUAAGGCAUGAAAAUCUGGUUUAACAAAGUCUGGUCACAAAAGCCUGCAGGAUUACUUAAAAAAAAACAGCUUUGCUUGUUUUUGAUCACUUCAAAGCCCAUGUUACACAAAGUGCAAAAGCAAUCUCAACAGGCUUGAAAACCCAACUUGCUAUGGUACCUGGUGGGCUAAUCAGCCAAGUGCAACCUCUUGAUGUGUCAGUAAACAAGCCAUUUAAAGCUCUAAUGAAGAAAGAGUGGAUGUUGUGGAUUUAGUCAGCUGGUAAUGAUUUAACACCUACAGGCAGGAUCAAGAAAGCAUCCAUCACACAGGUUUGUAAUUGGAUCCUAAGAUCCUGGAACGGUGUCAAGAAGGAAAUGGUUGUGAAAUCGUUUAAAAAAUGUGGCAUCAGCAAUGCUAUGGAUGGAAAUGAGGAUGGUGAAAUUUACCAGGAUGAGAAAAGUGACUCUUCAGAAGACACUGGUAAUGCAGAUAUUGAAGAAGGUGAUACUUCUGAUGUUGACAGUGAUGAAGAGUUCUUGGCCUUCUAUGAUGCAUACAUAUCAUAAAUUUGUUACCAGUACAUAAAAUGUCUUGUACCUUGUAUCUGUUCUUGUGUUUUGUAAUUAUUUGUAACAUAAAAUUUC
Molecule: long non-coding RNA, 1733 nt
Organism: Phyllostomus discolor (pale spear-nosed bat)
Lineage: Eukaryota; Metazoa; Chordata; Mammalia; Chiroptera; Phyllostomidae
Exons: 2
Source: RefSeq, a predicted model, not a curated record